Molecule: ribosomal RNA, 501 nt
Filed under: uncultured bacterium
Lineage: Bacteria
Description: partial 16S ribosomal RNA
Rfam family: Bacterial small subunit ribosomal RNA
Source: RNAcentral
AUUGAACGCUGGCGGCAUGCCUUACACAUGCAAGUCGAACGGCAGCACGGGUGCUUGCACCUGGUGGCGAGUGGCGAACGGGUGAGUAAUAUAUCGGAACGUACCUUAUUGUGGGGGAUAACGCAGCGAAAGCUGUGCUAAUACCGCAUAAUCCCUAAGGGGGAAAGCGGGGGACCGUAAGGCCUCGCGCAAUUAGAGCGGCCGAUACCUGAUUAGCUAGUUGGUGAGGUAAAGGCUCACCAAGGCAACGAUCAGUAGCUGGUCUGAGAGGACGAGCAGCCACCCUGGGACUGAGACACGGCCCAGACUCCUACGGGAGGCAGCAGUGGGGAAUUUUGGACAAUGGGGGCAACCCUGAUCCAGCAAUGCCGCGUGAGUGAAGAAGGCCUUCGGGUUGUAAAGCUCUUUUGUCAGGGAAGAAACAGCAGCUCUAACACAGUAUGCGAAUGACGGUACCUGAAGAAUAAGCACCGGCUAACUACGUGCCAACCGCCGCAGUAA